AACGAACGCUGGCGGCAUGCCUAACACAUGCAAGUCGAACGAGACCUUCGGGUCUAGUGGCGCACGGGUGCGUAACGCGUGGGAACCUGCCCUUAGGUUCGGAAUAACUCCCCGAAAGGGGUGCUAAUACCGGAUAAUGUCUUCGGACCAAAGAUUUAUCGCCUUUGGAUGGGCCCGCGUUGGAUUAGCUAGUUGGUAGGGUAAAAGCCUACCAAGGCGACGAUCCAUAGCUGGUCUGAGAGGAUGAUCAGCCACACUGGGACUGAGACACGGCCCAGACUCCUCCGGGAGGAGGCGGUGGGGAUAAUUGGACAAUGGGCGAAGGCCUGAUCCACCAUGGCCGCUUGGGUGAGGAAGGCCUAGGGUUGUAAAGCUCUUUUACCCGGGAUGAUAAUGACAGUACCGGGAGAAUAAGCUCCGGCUAACUCCGUG
This 432-nucleotide ribosomal RNA is filed under the name uncultured bacterium. RNAcentral's name for it is "partial 16S ribosomal RNA". It matches the Rfam family "Bacterial small subunit ribosomal RNA", at positions 29 to 507 of the family's 1533-position model. The record is from RNAcentral.